GAUGAAGAACGCAGCGAAAUGCGAUAAGUAAUGUGAAUUGCAGAAUUCAGUGAAUCAUCGAAUCUUUGAACGCACAUUGCGCCCGCCAGUAUUCUAGCGGGCAUGCCUGUUCGAGCGUCAUUUCAACCCUCAAGACCCCUUCGGGGGACUUGGUGUUGGGGACCGGCACAGGGGCCUGCCUGCUUGUCUUGCAGCGCCCUCGCCGCCCCCGAAAUGAAUUGGCGGCCUCGUCGCGGCCUCCCCUGCGUAGUAGCACAAACCUCGCAACGGGAACGUGACGGCGGCCACUGCCGUAAAACAACCCAAUUUUAUUAGAGUUGACCUCGAAUCAGGUAGGAAUACCCGCUGAACUUAAGCAUAUCAAUAAGCGGAGGA
Molecule: unclassified non-coding RNA, 375 nt
Filed under: soil metagenome
Description: partial contains 5.8S ribosomal RNA, internal transcribed spacer 2, and large subunit ribosomal RNA
Rfam family: 5.8S ribosomal RNA (bases 1-120)
Source: RNAcentral